Molecule: transfer RNA, 48 nt
Filed under: Doliolum nationalis
Lineage: Eukaryota; Metazoa; Chordata; Thaliacea; Doliolida; Doliolidae
Description: tRNA-Ser
Source: RNAcentral
GUGGUUACGUGAUUUCUGCUAAAAUUCACUUACUUAUAGUUAAGUGCA